UUUCCGUAGGUGAACCCGCGGAAGGAUCAUUCAUAAUAAAGUGUUUUAUGGCACUUUUUAAAAAUCCAUAUCCACCUUGUGUGCAAUGUUAGAUCUCGUCAAUCUUGGCGAGAUUUUUAUACAUCAACUCAUUCUUUAACUAAUUUGUCUGAAAAAUAUUAUGAAUACUUAAUUCAAAAUACAACUUUCAACAACGGAUCUCUUGGCUCUC
This 211-nucleotide unclassified non-coding RNA is filed under the name plant metagenome. RNAcentral describes it as "partial contains small subunit ribosomal RNA, internal transcribed spacer 1, and 5.8S ribosomal RNA". The record is from RNAcentral.